AGGGCACCACCAGGAGUGGAGCCUGCGGCUUAAUUUGACUCAACACGGGAAAACUCACCCGGCCCGGACACCGUAAGGAUUGACAGACUGAGAGCUCUUUCUUAAUUCGGUGGGUGGUGGUGCAUGGCCGUUCUUAGUUGGUGGAGCGAUUUGUCUGGUUAAUUCCGAUAACGAACGAGACUCUGGCCUAUUAAAUAGACGGUAUAUCGAAAAGUAUAUCGCACUUCUUAGAGGGACAAGCGGCGUCUAGCCGCAUGAAAUAGAGCAAUAACAGGUCUGUGAUGCCCUUAGAUGUCCGGGGCUGCACGCGCGCUACACUGAAAGAAUCAGAGUGCGCUUUGCCUAGUUCGGAAGAACUGGGUAACCCAAGUAAAUUCUUUCGUGCUUGGGAUAGGGAAUUGCAAUUAUUUCCCUUAAACGAGGAAUUCCCAGUAAAUGCGGGUCAUAAGCUCGCGUUGAUUACGUCCCUGCCCUUUGUACACACCGCCCGUCGCUACUACCGAUUGGAUGACUUAGUGA
This 519-nucleotide ribosomal RNA is filed under the name uncultured eukaryote. RNAcentral describes it as "SSU rRNA". It matches the Rfam family "Eukaryotic small subunit ribosomal RNA", at positions 1161 to 1704 of the family's 1831-position model. The record is from RNAcentral.